AUACCCUGGUAAGUCCACGCCGUAAACGUUGGGAACUAGAUGUGGGGAUUAUUCAACGAUCUCCGUGUCGCAGCUAACGCAUUAAGUUCCCCGCCUGGGGAGUACGGCCGCAAGGCUAAAACUCAAAGGAAUUGACGGGGGCCCGCACAAGCGGCGGAGCAUGCGGAUUAAUUCGAUGCAACGCGAAGAACCUUACCAAGGCUUGACAUAUACCGGAAAAGCGUAGAAAUACGCUCCCCGCAAGGUCGGUAUACAGGUGGUGCAUGGUUGUCGUCAGCUCGUGUCGUGAGAUGUUGGGUUAAGUCCCGCAACGAGCGCAACCCUCGUUCUAUGUUGCCAGCACGUAAUGGUGGGAACUCAUGGAAGACUGCCGGGGUCAACUCGGAGGAAGGUGGGGAUGACGUCAAAUCAUCAUGCCCCUUAUGUCUUGGGCUUCACGCAUGCUACAAUGGCCGGUACAAAGGGCUGCAAUACCGCAAGGUGGAGCGAAUCCCAAAAAGCCGGUCUCAGUUCGGAUUGAGGUCUGCAACUCGACCUCAUGAAGUCGGAGUCGCUAGUAAUCGCAGAUCAGCAACGCUGCGGUGAAUACGUUCCCGGGCCUUGUACACACCGCCCGUCAAGUCACGAAAGUCG
Molecule: ribosomal RNA, 633 nt
Filed under: uncultured Actinomycetes bacterium
Lineage: Bacteria; Bacillati; Actinomycetota; Actinomycetes
Description: bacterial SSU rRNA
Rfam family: Bacterial small subunit ribosomal RNA
Source: RNAcentral